UAAAUGUGUAUUUAGCCACUUGGAGU
This 26-nucleotide non-coding RNA is filed under the name Rattus norvegicus (Norway rat). Lineage: Eukaryota; Metazoa; Chordata; Mammalia; Rodentia; Muridae. The record is from RNAcentral.